CAUAUACUCAGAAUAUAAAGAUGAUAAAG
This 29-nucleotide non-coding RNA is filed under the name Trypanosoma brucei brucei. The record is from RNAcentral. Lineage: Eukaryota; Euglenozoa; Kinetoplastea; Trypanosomatida; Trypanosomatidae.